This 495-nucleotide ribosomal RNA is filed under the name uncultured bacterium. Its description in RNAcentral is "partial 16S ribosomal RNA". It matches the Rfam family "Bacterial small subunit ribosomal RNA", at positions 28 to 505 of the family's 1533-position model. The record is from RNAcentral.
GAUGAACGCUGGCGGCGUGCCUAAUACAUGCAAGUCGAGCGAACAGACGAGGAGCUUGCUCCUCUGACGUUAGCGGCGGACGGGUGAGUAACACGUGGAUAACCUACCUAUAAGACUGGGAUAACUUCGGGAAACCGGAGCUAAUACCGGAUAAUAUAUUGAACCGCAUGGUUCAAUAGUGAAAGACGGUUUUGCUGUCACUUAUAGAUGGAUCCGCGCCGCAUUAGCUAGUUGGUAAGGUAAUGGCUUACCAAGGCAACGAUGCGUAGCCGACCUGAGAGGGUGAUCGGCCACACUGGAACUGAGACACGGUCCAGACUCCUACGGGAGGCAGCAGUAGGGAAUCUGCCGCAAUGGGCGAAAGCCUGACGGAGCAACGCCGCGUGAGUGAUGAAGGUCUUCGGAUCGUAAAACUCUGUUAUUAGGGAAGAACAAAUGUGUAAGUAACUAUGCACGUCUUGACGGUACCGAAUCAGAAAGCCACGGCUAACUACG